This 429-nucleotide ribosomal RNA is filed under the name Acidobacteriota bacterium. RNAcentral describes it as "Acidobacteria bacterium partial 16S ribosomal RNA". It matches the Rfam family "Bacterial small subunit ribosomal RNA", at positions 355 to 776 of the family's 1533-position model. The record is from RNAcentral. Lineage: Bacteria; Pseudomonadati; Acidobacteriota.
UGGGGAAUUUUGGACAAUGGGGGAAACCCUGAUCCAGCCAUCCCGCGUGUGCGAUGAAGGCCUUCGGGUUGUAAAGCACUUUUGGCAGGAAAGAAACGUCAUGGGUUAAUACCCCGUGAAACUGACGGUACCUGCAGAAUAAGCACCGGCUAACUACGUGCCAGCAGCCGCGGUAAUACGUAGGGUGCAAGCGUUAAUCGGAAUUACUGGGCGUAAAGCGUGCGCAGGCGGUUCGGAAAGAAAGAUGUGAAAUCCCAGAGCUCAACUUUGGAACUGCAUUUUUAACUACCGGGCUAGAGUGUGUCAGAGGGAGGUGGAAUUCCGCGUGUAGCAGUGAAAUGCGUAGAUAUGAGGAGGAACACAGAUGGCGAAGGCAGCCUCCUGGGAUAACACUGACGCUCAUGCACGAAAGCGUGGGGAGCAAACAGG